UGUGUCGCAAGCCACCUGCAACCAUUAGAGUUCUAAGAGUUCUUUCUUCUCUCGUUUUUGUUUCAAUGUUUAUUUCAGUUUGCUUUUCAAUUGUUAUGAACAUGUGUAACUAAGUUUUUCUUAGUUGGAGGUGAAUUCGAAGCCAUGGACAUGUUUAAUAUGAAUGGAUUACUUUCAGUUAUUGUUUCGUAAAACAUGAAUGUGAUUUACUUAUCUGCGUUAUUGAAAACCUAUUCUUGUGUGUUUAUUAAGGAUGCAUACUUAGUUUGCAUGCAGGGAUUUGAUGCUAAAUUAUAAGGGAAUUUCACCUAAUCAUUAUGAACCUAUAAUUAAAAGUAGUGGAGAUUGCUAGUCACAAUCGUGUUAAGUAAAUUAUGGGCAAGAGUUCAUGCAGUUCAUAGUUACGAAUGCCUUGUCAAUGCUUAUGAUUUUCAUAGAACUUAAUGAUCUUUGGUAUGUAUCUCUAUCAUGUUGUUCAUAUAGGGAACUUGAGAAGAAUAAUUUGGUUGCGAUGCGUUGUCCAUUCAAUUCAAUGAACUUAGGAAAAUCUGAAAGUUAAUUAGUGCAUUCACAAUUAAUUUGGGGUAUUGUCAUUCAUGGUUUAAAGAAACAAUACUGGAAAUCAAUUUAUGUUGCAUAUGGUUCAUGUGUGGAGAAGGAUUCUCUGGCUGAGUUUUCACCAUUCAAAUCACCUAAUUUACUUUGUUUUGCAAUCUGUUUAGUUUAGCUAAAUUUCGUCCAAAUCAAUUCCCCCUUUAAUUAAGUGUGUUAGAUUAGUUAGAAAAGUGUUCAAAUCUGUCUAAUUUAGUGUUUUGAGUCUUAAUAGUCUUAAAUUCGUCCAAUUAACUCCCUAGAGUCAGUUUUGAGUCAAUUUCACUUAGUUUUGCUUUUUUGAGUAGUUUGAGUCAGUUUUAAGUCUUAAGUGUUUAGUUUUGUGUUUCUAAGUCUAGUAU
RNAcentral lists this long non-coding RNA (953 nucleotides) under Malus domestica (apple). RNAcentral describes it as "long non-coding RNA (MDOM_LNC008460)". The record is from RNAcentral. Lineage: Eukaryota; Viridiplantae; Streptophyta; Magnoliopsida; Rosales; Rosaceae.